Non-coding RNA from Anas platyrhynchos (mallard), 16350 nucleotides. The record is from RefSeq and is a predicted model, not a curated record. Lineage: Eukaryota; Metazoa; Chordata; Aves; Anseriformes; Anatidae.
UUUUUACCUGAAGGAAUGGCUACCUGGCAGGUUCUCCAAUGUGACAGAGGUACUGACUCCCUGGUCCUGGGUGCAUUCAGCAGCUGUUGUUACGAAGAAUGCCACUCUUUGCUCACAGCCAUAAUCACCUGUCAUUGACAAAGUUGUCACACAGAGUGUCUUGGCACGAGAGGGGCCUCUGCCAUCAGUUUGCAGUCCCCACUUCUGAACAUUACAGAAGAACUCUUGAAGGGAAUAUCUACAUCCAGUGGCACCUUUUCUUCUGGUGUGCCACCACGAUAAAACUUGGUGCUUGACCUAUACGUUUCAGAUCAUUCUUUGCUGAAAUUGAAACCAACUCAGGAAGUGUAUUUUGUCUCCUUGCAUCUCCUCACAGAAGUUCAUGGAAAAUAUUUCAGCCGGAUCAACUCCUUCAUCAGGUUUAACUUGUGGUUGCCUAGUAGCUGGAUUUACACUGUGAAGAGGCUGCAAAAAAGAGCAUCUAAGCCAUGAUAAUAUGGGUUGCUUCAUCUGGCACUUCUGGAAAACCAAAAGCAGAGCCAUAAUUUAUGCCGUGGCAUGAAAUGCUGUAUUCAACUUCUGCACAAGUGUUUUGGAAAAGAUAUUCUUCAUUAGACCUAACUCCGUGGCAUGGUGUGACUUUUUCCUAUUUCCCAAGUUGCCACUAUCUUAAGCAGUCUGGUGGAGUGCAGCUGUGGCACACUAGUUUUUCCUUGCAGUGAUGAGUGCCUCAAGUGAGGGGGUGACUCGCUUCCUACUCUGUGCAAUCCUGAAAAUGUGGAACUCAUUCCCUCUGGAGUUAUGAAAUGUGGACAGAUUCCUCUUUUUUACAGUGGAAAAGCAUGAAAUCAUAGCCACAUUGGCUGGAGUUAUUAUUCAUUUAACAGUUAAACUUCCAUUAUGUUUUACUGUUUGCUACAUGCCAUUUUUAUGUGCUUCAGUUUUAUACAUUUUGGAGUUAACUAUUUGAAAGGAGAAAGAAGUGAUUUACCAGGACUGUGCCUUUCUCCCUACUAAUUCUGUGCUUUUCUUGUUGCUAGGAUGAUAUUUGUUUCACAUUGCAUGUGGGCAUGUAUUAAAACAUAAAUAUAUUAAAUUUUACUGUCCGAUUCAUAGAGACUCCUAGAUGAAAGAAGACUCUUCAUGUGCUGUGAUAUAUCAUCCCUAUAUGUGGGUAUAACCAGAGCUUAGUUUUAUGCUUCAUGGUGAAGUUCUCUGCACAAGUCCUGUUCUGAAGGAAGCUGUACAAAAGCAGUUUUUUCUGGAAGCUACCACGUCGUGGAAUUGUGCCUUCUGGGUCAGAGAUGAAAGGAGCUGGCCAGUAAGUCUGAAGCUGAAACAUUUUUUUCCAAAGGACAUCUUUGGUUGCUGAUGGAUUUUUGAAGAGUCUGAGUCAAAAAGUACUCUAUUUUCCUACUGACCUCUUUUUCAUGAAUCAUGAAAUAAAGCACAGUCUGUGAUUUUCAUCUCUCAGUGUACCCUGAAGAGCGUAGGUGUAUGUGUUUGUCCUAAAUUUGUUCAUGGACUAGUCAAAACUGACAAAUUAUGAGUCAUGUGAGACUGGCCACGUGCUUGUUUUUGGAUGGUUGAAAUUAUAAAGGAAAAAUAAUGCCGAUAUCUUAAUAUUAUGUGACCUCUGAAUAUUGUCAACAUAAUUAGAAAUUCUUCUGGUAAUAAUCUUAGUAGUCCACAGGAGAGUAAGCAUUAUCAUAUCAGUUCAGUGGUUCUCCUUCUGCAGUAUGACAACUUCAUUAUUACAAUGUUUGUUGUUGAAAUCAUUCCAAAAUCUUGAGGUCUUGAAGAGAUGAGAGAAACAGGGGAAGUGCAUGCCCUGAUAGUAACUUUUCUAUGCUAUAAGUUUAGGAGGUAGUUUAUUUUUACAUUCCAAUGCAAUACAUUAUUAUUAUUAUUAUUAUUAUUAUUAUUAUUAUUAUUAUUAUUAUUAUUAUUAUUAUUAUUAUUAUUAUUAUCAUAUCUCAGCAGUGGCAAACACUGUCCUGGGGAGGAGAAAACGUUGCAGAAGGCUUCAGCUGAGUGUGAAUGGUUUAGUCAAUGUAUAGUCUGCUGGACUUUGCUUAAGCAAAAAGCAAUCAUUCUCCUUGUAAAUGUAAGAACACAGAGAAAGAAGAAAAUUUGCCAAGUAAGAAAGCAUUAUGGGCCGUUAGCAAAUUAAGGAAUGUAUAUCCUCUCCUGUGAACUUAUUGCUGCACAUAAAGAUGUGAAACUGUUCUGCUCUUGCAUUGAGGUAUUAGCCAACAUGAGGUGACCACUGGGUAGAGGGUUCAGAAAUGUUCAAGAGAUGAAAAUUCCCUGCGAUGUAUUUUAUAUGGUAAAAACAUACAGGUUUUGUUGUUGUUGUUUGUUUGUUUGUUUGUUUUCUCAUGGAUGUUGCAAUGCAGUCAAACCCAAUAAGUCAAAUAUAAUUUUUCUACUGGGGAAGAAUACAAGCAAAAUUACUCACAUAGUGAUAAUGACUGCCAUUCUUUAUGUUAUAUGCUGAAAAGACACCAUUAGGAGGGGCUGAGAUGUGAUGACCAUACAGAUCUUUAUAGAGGACCAAAAAGGAAUUUCUGGGAGAUGUGUAUCAGCCCUUGAAAUACGUUCUGCAUAUGACCCUGAGUCCAUCUGUGGUUGUGAAUAGGUUGGUAAGGCCUUAGUCUUCUACCCAGUAGCUUGGCUUGCACACCAGAAACAUUAAAAUCUUUGAGCUUGAUACUGUUAUUCAGCAUCUGUAGCACCAUUCUCAUUGAUUUUAUAAUUCUAUAUUAUUUUCUAAUGACUGCAUUCACAGUGGGUGAAGAAUGGGCAUGGACCCUUUGCUGGCUCUAAUGGAAGCCAUUGCUCUUGGUGGCAGGCAUAAAAUGGGCAAAUCUGCCUGUUUGAGUUGUGGAUAGGUAAGUUGAUUCAGCUGCUACUGGUGCUGUAGGCAUUUCACCAUUAAAAAUGUUAUGCGUCUCUUGAUUUGUCCACUAAGCCAACUUUGUAAUUCUAAAAGCAAAGCCAGUUACUAUGGCGUUUCACUUACUAAGCUUUUUCAUUGGUGUACUUUUCAUUGACACUCUUUAGCUAAGGCAAAGGUUAUUAUUUUUAUAAUUAUCCCUAACUAAUUUUGCAUAUGGGAAGUGUAUAACAAAGAAUAAGUCCUUCAACAUCUUUGCUGUAGAAUUAACCCUGUAAAAAAUAAUUCUUGAAAGAUAGUCUAAUAUUCCUUUGUCCUUGCAGUCUUAAAGUAUUAUCAAAAUUAAAGUAAAACCAAAAUCAAUUUAUAGAUGAAAAUCCUAGGAAUCUGCCUGGUCCCUAGUACUUAACAAGAUCUUAAUUUUCAAAGAUUAAAGCUGUGAUACUGAGGCAGCGGCCUCUCUUGGAAACCAGUGCUUUUUGUUUGGAAGAUACUAGGCUUAUCUCUGGAUAUGUGGUUUUAAAUCUCAGCACUGUUCAAUGCCUCCAACUCUGCUGCAAGCUCAGUAAGCAGUGGAAGGAGUUUGCAGGGCCAAAGGAGAUAUGUGUACGCUCUGAAGUUGGAAGGCACCUUACCGUUUGACAAAUGGGCAGAAGAGUGGUAAAAGAGAAAAGUUAAGGACAAAUCAGCAUCACAAAGUGUAUUCUUCCUUAUGAUUUGCAGCUUUCUGGUGUUUUGGUUUCUAAACCAAAACAUCAGGUUAUUAAUUAUUAGAACAUGAAACAAACAAAUGCAGUGUAGGAUCUAAGUCUUAGCUAAGGCUCAGCUGUGGGCAGGAAUUCAUUUCUUCCUGAGGAGAUUUUGUCCAGUGAAAUUGAGGUUUUAUUGGAACUACUCCAGAAAUGCCACGCUGGAUAUUGACAACUUAGAAAACAUAGCAAUUCUGACACCUGAGGGGGAAUAGUUCAGAUGCUUGUUUUAAUAAAAUAUAAAUAAUGUUAAAAUCUUAAUAAAAUCAAGCUGAGAUACUGAUUCCAUUGCUUAAAUAUAGCAUUUUUAGGAUUCAAAUGAAAGGAAGAGGAAAAAGUAUUGUUUCUCCUGUCUCCCUUCACUAUACCUGUUCUUGGGUAUCUUGCUAGAUGUCAUUCAGUAAAGGAGUCAAGCCAGGCCCUCCAGGCAAUUUGUGACAGCAGAAAAGAGGGUUAACUUCCAGAAGAUUUUUGUCUGUGUACUGCAAGGUCCUGGGCUAUACAUGUACCUGCACUGCAAGUACAGGUGGGAUUGAAGUGCUGGAGGCACCACAGUGAAGUCUGUGCUGCUAUGUCCUCAUUGUUAGAAUUGUUUCUACUAACUGCCAGUGUAAGAACAGACAGUGGAGUUUGCUCUCCUUUCAGCAAUCGGAUCUUUGGGUAUGCACUUUUAGAUUUCUAAAAUCUAGGUAUCAGCAGUAAAGGGAAACAAAACAAAACAAAAACUUAAAAAAAGUAAACAAACACAAGUUUCCUUCUUUCUUGUGCAGCUUGGGGAAAGACCUGAAUUCACAUUGUUUGCCUGCAGUUCUGCCAAACCAGCAUUAUGUGCUGGCAUUUGCAAGAGCUUUAGGCAUCUGUUGUUGGUUCCAGGAUUUUCAAAUGGGCUUACGUAGGACAGCUAAAUAAGAUUCAGGUUUUUAAAAAUGAGUUGUAACCCUUAAUUUCCAGUGUGGUGUUCAUUGCCACAUCUUUAAACCAAAUCUCUUGAAAACCUUUAUUCUCAACAAGUAUUUCAAGUAGGGGCAGAGCAUUCUGAGGAUGGUUGCCUGUACUAAACUCAAAAUUCAGGACAGUAUGUCUCAAAAAGAAAGCAAGAGCAACACCUUCCAAGCAGAACCUUUCACAUACAGUAGGAAGUGCUGGUUGUCCCAGUUGCAUGUGCUAACAGUUACAUCUUGAUGCCUGGAGUAGUUCAUCGCUGUUUGCUGCCAAGCAUUUGUUAUUGCUGAAGAAGCCCUUCUGGCCCAGCCAAUAACAUUUUUGUGCCAUAUGAGUAUCUCUACUUUCAUAUAAGUGCAGCACCCCUUUAAAAUUCUCUUCAAAUCAAUGGCUAUUAGAAAACACUAAUUCUUCUCUCUAGGAUCAUCAGUUUCUUUAACAGUUGGUAUUUUUAAUCUGGGCAUUAUAUUCAGGAAUGUAAACAGUCUUUGCCAUAUAGAUUUUGUAAUAUAAGCCCUCUGUAAUGAUUUUAUCUUGUUUGCUUCCGAAUACUCAAGCCCACGUUGUCCUGUUUUGUGCCUCCCUCUUUCCUUGUGCCUUACCUGCUAGAUUGCCUCAGGUAGGUGAGAGUUGCCCCAGUUGCAGUUUAAUUUUGUAAAAUAGGUUUAUUCACUGUUUACCCUAAGCACUUUAAUGCUGCCUUUUUUUUUUUUUUCCUUUUUUUUUCCCCGGAUGGCUUUUUCUCUCCUACUCCUCUCUGAUUAGCAACAGAAAAUCUUCCUUUGUUCUUAAUUGUUGUCUGCUUAGGUUUCAAAAUGAAAAAUGGUAUCCUCUGUGAGAAUGCUUUAUUUAAAUGGAUAAACAUCAAAACCCAAACACCUUAAUGUUAUCCCUACAGCAAAUGUAAUAAAAAUCUCCUUCACUGUGAACUUCGCUUCUGCACAGAAAGAAAGAGCCCAAUACCAAAAAGAGCGUACAAGAAGUAUGUAAAGAACUCCCUCAGUUCAUCACAUUUCUUGCAUCAGUUUAUAUACAAUACUUCUUCUGUUGACCAGAAAUCACUUCACAAGAAACUCUGCAUCUAAGCAGAAGGAAAGAAAAUGAGAGCUUUCGGUUUGACCAGUCUAUAAUCUACGGAGGGUGUAUGAUAAGAGGGUUUUCUUGGUAUUAACAGUAUCUGAACAUAAAUUUAACAGCAGAAUCAAACAUGAGGAUUUGAGUCCGUGGUUUGAGGACCUGGUAGUUGGACACAAAUUUGGUUUGUAUUCAGUUUGAUCAUCUCAGCUUGCAAGAAACUCCAUAGACAGGAAGCCACCAAAUACUCUUUUUUUAGCACCUGUUUUGUUUAGUAGAAUUGCACUUGUAAGAUCUCAGUGCUUGUUUCAUACCCUGUCUGUCUUUUUUUGCUGUCCUAAGUGAUCAAGAGACCAGCUGGGGAGUCUUGUUUACAUAAAAAUGGGGAAAACUUGCAAAGGUUAACUAAGACAUUUUUUAAUGAUUGAUAUUUAUAAACAGUAGAAGAUAAUGGGUGAGGACAGUUUUGAGUCUGUGUUCAAUUGCCAUACAAAACAAGUUGUUAAUGAGCAGCAAAGCUAAUGAGUCCUGAUUUCAUAAAGGUUUGUAUCCAAUAUUAUCUGGACAUACACAUGCAGUGGUCCCUCACAGCUCCCUCCCACCACAUUUUCCCUUUUUCAGUUUACCCAUAUUGUUCCAGCACUGCAAAACCCACAGCUUAUCCUCAAAAUUCUGCAUGGCCAUUCUGCCCUCUCACCUGCUUUUUCUCAUACCAAUAUCCUACCACUUUGCUCCUUUUCAACAUCUGAUGAUCUGUUUUGCACUACCAUCUAAGUGAGAGAUGGCAUAUGCUAUAGCUUAUCUGGAAACUAUCACUUGCCAACUGGCUUAUUGGUGAGUGUCAUGCAGAAUAAAAAAUACCCAGAUUUGCUUUUCUUGGGGAGUUAAUAGGGUCUCUGCUGUAUCAGCUGUUAAUUUUUAUGAAAUAUAUUACAACUUUGAGACCUUGAUUCCACCUCUCAAUUUGAAUGAGCUGAACCAGGAGGUUCAAAAGAAGAGUGGGAAUAGGAGUAUGGAUGGACUGGUAGUGUUUUUUUCUGGAAACAAGCCAAAAAAUACUGCAUGGUUGGAAGUGUCCUGUUUAGGUUAAAAAAUAUGUAUGUGUGCUUGAACUCAAACAUGUAUUUGAGCUGUCUUAUGGAAGAACUGAUGGCUAAACCCUGUCAAAGAAUCUCAGGCCCUUUACUAGAACACAGGAGAACUUAGGGAAGGUUGUUGGAAGAGACUUGUCCCCAGGACCAUUUCUGAGUCGUAAGUGAAUCCUGCAUGGAUGCCUUUUUCUUACCUUUUGCAACAACAAAAUAUAAGGAACUCUGAUUUCAUCUCCACUGGCUUGUUGUAAAUUAAGUCCUUCUCUUACAGGGAAUCCAUAUGGUAGGCUCAUACUUUGUGAAAUAAACUUUGAGUUGUUGGGAAAUAUGACAUGAUAGGAAGUACUUGCUCCCUUAGUAAGUAUUCAGACGUGGUCUUCAAGGUUGAAGCAAAGGCAUAUGAGCAAACUGGGUUACCUCUUGGCCAGUGCAUUGUAGUUUUGCAAGAGUUAGUGCUUUCACUAGCAUUGUGAUAGAUAUGGGUUAAGAAGUUUGCUGAUGAACUUGGGAAAUUUUACAAUAAAUGAGGUUAUUUAGUCCAACAGAGAUUAAAUACUUUUCAUUCUUUGCUUUAAAUGAAGCAAAAUCAGUGUGAAAAAUAUAAUUUUGAGUGAUGGAUCCCAUAGUGCUUAAUAACCACUUAAGUUUAGCAAGAAAAAAAAUAUUUUUUCCUCCUAAAGGAUUAGAUUCUUGAGAUACUCAUCAGUAAGUGCAAGCAUAUUACAUCGUUGUCUUUUGAGAAUAACUAUUAAUUUUUUUUGCUGCUCCAUUCUGUAAAAUGCUCUCUGAGAACGAACCAGUUCCCUGAAUUAAAUCUUAUUUUCUCUGACCUUUUUCCUGCUAAGGCACCCUAUAAACUACAGAAUAGAUUUAAACAGAACAGAAGAAACAAAAAGCUCCACUUUUUUUUAACUCACAUAAAAUAAAAUCCAUGACUUGCUGUUUACAUGGCAGUCAGAAAUCUCAUUUCUUAUUAUCAGCCAGUUUCUAAGUGAACUGACAUUUCUGUGGUGCAAAUAACAUUAAAAAAAAUGCUAUCAGGAUUUUCCCUUGGCAUCCAUGAGAUAAACAGUUAGCUGUGUGUUGACAAACAUAGCGUGCACAGUUGCAAAGCUGUUAAUUGCAUCACUGCAUUGGUCUGUAGUAGUUUAAGGCUAUCCUGUGUGUGUCGUUUUGCUAGAUUUGUUAAUGAAGAGGCAUCAGUGGGCUUCUUCAUUUGUUUCCUUCUCAUUUCUUAUGGUAUCACCUGAGCCUUCUGCAUCUGGGAGUGUUUAUUGCAUGGAAUCUGGCACUAAUUUUUGGAGGCACUGUAUGUUAGGAAUCCAUAUGCAUGGCAGAUGACUCUCAGACAGGAGGGAGCUUUAUAUUUCAGUGCAUUGAAAGAGAUGCUUGGCUACAGACUUCCUAGUAGUUUGGCGUUUCCACAGCAGUAAAAGGAAACAGAAAACCGUGUUGGCAUGAAGCACAGGUUACAUGCCAUUUCUGUUGGGUUUCUAUAUGGAAUAAUGAAAUAGUCUAUCAGAGAAGGGAGUGAGUGAGACUUCAGUCUGGCAGCUUCUUAUUCACAGAUAGUUUGCAUCCUUAUUGAUGUUUUGAUGACUGUUGGAAUGGUUCACCAUAAGAGGGAUGUUUUUUCUCUGUCUUACAGUCUUAAGAUUAAGUUGUGCUCCAGCUCAGACAAGCCUGCUGUGUGGGUACCUGUCAUGCACGUAAUAGGCAGCUCUGUUCAGCUGCUAAAAUGGCAUGGUCAAGAUUCAGCUCUAAAUGAAUUAAUCAUUGUUUACUGCAAUGAAUAGUCAUUUCAAUCAGCCAUACAUUCAAGGAGAUACAGAUGUAUGCUGCAAGAUGCAAACCUGUAUAUAUAUUAUACUCAGUAUAAUGAUGUUCAGAUACUGUGGUUUAUAUUUACAUGUUGACAACAAUGUGGUCCGCAUCGCAGGAGUCAUCAGGAGUCUGCAGCCUGCUUUAAACUAGCCAUAAACCUCAGCCCUGGAAAUACUUUAAAUAUAUUAAGAAAUUUAAUGGCUACGCUGCGUGAGCCUGUCAUUGUUUGAAGGAAAGUUCAGAAUCUUACUCAGAAGUCACUGAAGUGAAUGGGAAGCCCAAGACCUUCAUCGGCAGUGACUUCUUGUUCUAUCUGCAGUGAUAGCUAGUGAUAGAUAUUUGUGGUCUUGUGAAAUUUGUUUGAAGCUUUAAGAUGUUUUCCUAAUGAUAGAGUAUCCACAUCAUGGAAAUCACCCAUUGUGUUUGGCAGUUGGAAGAGAGAAAAAGAGACAGAUAACUGGGCUUGUAAUGUUAUCUACCCUCCCUCCCCUCCUUGUCUGGUGAAUGUAGCGUAGGGUACAGCAGCAGCAAGGGUCAAGUUCAUGCUGUCACAUUGCAAGGCGCCAGGUUUCAGAGGUGUAAAUCUGCCAAGUUUUAUAAGCAUCAGCUUGAACUUUAAAGCGCCUUCAGGCAUGAGGAACUUAAUAUUAUGAUCUGUCUUUAAAAAAAUGCAAAUAAAGAACUGCAUGUUCUUUUUUGGUGGUAAGCAUCUCCAGACAUAAUUUUGUUUAGGAUGUAGUUACUGAACUAAUCCCCCUGCUGAUACCAGGGAUGUUAACAAUGCCAAGGAUGUUGUCUCUAGACAAAAUCUACAUCAAGGUUUUUUUGACUGAACGUAGCUGUGUUGCCAUCUGCAUAGAAGUGCCACUCUAAGGUUGCUUUAUUUUAAAUUACAUCUUGUUAAUGUGUCCUUGUAAGCUGAACACAUCAAACAGGUACAAAACAGGUGUUGUCUCUUCCCCCAUAGUAUCUUUAUCAUCUUUUGCUAGCAAUGGAUUUCACGAUAAUACUGGGGGGGGCUGUAUUAGAAAUCAAACUUUUAAUGUUUUAUCCAGCAGCAGAGUAAGAUUUGAUCAACAUGUGCUAGACUUCAAAAUAUUUAAUCUGUUUAUUAAACCAGUUGUUUGGAGUUGUAGUUUUAGAAUGAAGAGCUAUCUAAAACACACUGAAAGGAAAUGGAAUGUGGUCCAGAAUGGUAGUUCCUUCAUACAUCUAUCCAUUGGGUGUCACUCUUCCCUGUUUGAUUUAUAUCUUGUAGAAGACAUUGUUAGAAAAACUGACAGAUUUCACCUUGCUCAGCUCUUAAAAAGGAAAUGUUUUUUUCUUGGGUGCGUGCUGUUGAGUAAUGUUGAUUUGAAUAUCUAGUACUAGGAAUAGUAAAAUAAAUCAGAAUCAUAGUGAAAGUAGAAGAAAUCAUGACCAGCUAUUGCUUCCUACCAGUCAGUUCCAUUAAUCUUCCCAAGGACAGAACCCCUCAUGUCAGUUCUUAUUGAAUUUUGCAUCAGAAAAUAAGACUAGAUGUGCUAGUUUGGGAAGGGAUGAUAUUCCAUAGCUGUGCAGUUAGAUCUGAAUAAUCAGACAAGAGCUUUCAGCAGCUCUCUCAUUUGAUUCCCAUGAAAAUAUGGAUCCUUUAAUGGUUACGUAUUAAAGUCACAAUUCUUUGUUUAAAAGCCCAGACUGCCUGAAGUCAAAAACAAAGGACUUAAAACACUGGUUUCACUGCACAGUUUGGGAUAUAUUGAGACUCUCCACAAUCAACUUUAAACUAGUAGCACCUUAGCUUUUUGUUUUCUUUUGUGUAAGAAAAUACAGAUAUUUGAAAAUACAAGAAGAGACUUCUCAUUUUUUAAUGCAAUGAAAGCUUAUGUGAAGUUUGGAGAAAUAGCUAGAUAAGCAUACCAUUCUGAGAAUCCUUGGUGAGAAAAAAAAAAAAAAAAGAAGCUAUACUUUAAUCCCCACUUUCUACAUUGUUGACACAAAAAUAUCACCUACAAAGAUCAGAUAGCAGAGCUACUACGAUGUACAAUUCCAGAAUGUUUAGCAUGCAGUGUGUUGCUAGCUAUAGUCAGAUAACAGUUCUUCUUUUAAAAGUUCUUUUGUUGUUGUCAGUGGUUGUGUUUUUAAUCAAAAAGAACUGGCAUUUAUCCAAACCUCGCAGCAAGAAUGUUUCUGUACGAGAUGAAGAGGGGAGAAAGGCUCUUCAUCUGCGUGUUUUUUUGUUUGUUUGUUUGUUUCUGUAUGUUUGGAAAUAUUAUUGAAAUAAGACAGUUAAUGUCAUUGUCUGCAUGUAGGCUGUCUGACUGUGGUAGCUCUGAAUCAGAGCUAGGACAAAAAAAGCUGUGCCAGGGCUAUAGAGAAAAUCCAAUUUUUAAUUUUUUAUGCUCCAUGCCAGGCAUAUUAAAAUAAAUAUAUACAAAAAUAUGGAAAUUAGUUCUUUUACAAAAAGAGUUGUUGAGUGACUUCUCCCUUCAGGAAAAAAAAAAAGAAUAUCAGCUCUUAGACCUAGACAAUACGCUAUUCGGGUUAUCUCACAUGAUUGUUCCAGCAAUCUUGCCUUGUUCUCAAGAUACACAUAUAGGAAAUGAUGUUGCAGCCUCUUUGCUAGAGAAUAUACUAGGCCUAGACUAUACUGAAUAUUAGUAAAGAAGAUAGGUGAAGUUACAGUCCUGAAAGAUGAAAAUUCAUGCAAGUCUUAAGUUCAAAGAAGCUAAUAAGGCCCUUCCAAGGCCUGUGUGAAUGACACAGAUGUUAUCAUAAGAAAACCUGAAGGGAAAGGUAAAUAGUUAUCUUCAUUAGGAAAUGUUAGUCCAAAAAAUAUGAGAGAAUCUAUGAUCAUUUCUUCACUGGUAAAUCCCGGUGAUGUUCCUUGUAUGGUGUAUGUGGAUACAUGUUUAAAAAAGAAAACCUCCAUAAAAAAACCUUCUGCUGUAGUACUGUGCUGUUUGAUAAAUGUGACUCUUGUCAUUCCUUGUAGCAAUGCAUAGAUCCACCCAAUCAUGAAACCUCACUAAAUAAUAUGUGACCAGUUUCAGCAAAUCUUAAUUUAAGUUUCUAAAUGUUUCACAACAACAGUCAUUCAUGAUGUUCUGGGUGUUCAGGCUGCCUCAUGGAAAAUGCAAUUCUAAAGCUUUUGGCAAAUUUCAAGCUAUUUUUAUUUUUGUUAUAUAUAUAUUAUAAAGCUAUAAUUUAGGAAUUCACUCUGGAUUAGACUUACAUAAAUCUAUUCAGUGAGAAAUCAUUCUGGAAAUUACUGGUGAACAGGAUUUCGAACAAUUCCUGGUUUUGACAGACUUGGAAGCAUAACAGGAGUAGCCUUUCUGGUUUCCUAAAUUCCAUUGGACUUCAAAAGAGCUUUUUGCCAUUUUGGUUUGGCUUUUCUGGCUGACGUGGGUUCCAGCUGUUAAAUUAUUUGAACUCUGUGUACAUCUUCAGGAUUGAUGCUGUUGUAGAGAGCUUGGAGGAUUUAUGUGCAAAUUGAUCUCUUCUUAUCCUUUCAAUUCAAUAACACUAAUAUUAUAUUUAGUAGCUAUGUAGCAGUCUCACAAAGGUCUCUUUGAGUUUGGUAGAAGUCUCUCCAUUUAUAGGCAGAUAAGUGAGGUGCACAAAUUUAAUGACCUGUCCAAGGUCGCCUAGCCUAUAGUGAAAACAGCCUUUCCUGACGCCCUGUCCCUAUUGCAGCAGCCAUAAAGCAAAACAUGUUGAAUGGAGUCUUUAUAUACAUGAAAAGAUUAUCUGUAACCUGUAUUAUUUCUAGAACUAUGAAGCACAAGAUACUGUAUGAAUGAACGUGUGACUAUUUAGGCACAACUCCGUUGUCGUUAUAGUGGCAGCUAUUGAAUGUUUUCAAAUGGGAGGAGCACGUGGAUGAAAAAUACAUUUAGAAAAGUGUCUUCUGUGCAACUUCAGUACUGCACUGUGGAUACCAGUAUCAUUUUUAAUGUGUACACUAAUUUGCAUACAAAUUUUAAGGGACUCUAUCCAUUUCUGAAACAGCUAGAGAGGGAAGAACUGGAGAGCCCUGGACAGAGUGGGAAGAGUUUAUGGAGAAAAGGAGGAGAGAGGCUGCAGAGGAGGCUGGAGAGCUCCAGGGGAAUUCCAGCUGGCCUGUGUCCUCCCCUUCCCAGCUUUUCUGUCUCCCUCUUGAAAAGUCCUUUCUUCUCAGGCAGCCAUGAGAAGUGUAGUAUUUUCUUCCCAGUACACAGGAUGGGAAGUUGGGCAAGGACAGCUUGAAAAGAAAGUGGUGCAGAGGGUCAUUUGCUUUGUUUGUUUGUUUGUUUGUUGUUUGUUUAUUUGUUUGACAUUUUAAGUAGUCAUACGUUGGUAACUGAUGUUUUAGAAGCUUAAGGCCAGCCAUGGGUUAUGUGAGUGUAGGUGCGAGCAGAAGGCAGGGAACAGUGCUAGUACAAAAAAGAAGUCAGAGCCUAUCCUAAAAAAUGUGGUAACUGCUAAUCUAUAGAAGCUGUCUGUUCUGGCUUGGGGUGAGUGGAUAAGCAUUUAAGUCUAAGCAAACUAAAUAUUGUUUCCUUAGGAAAGUUUGUUUAACUAAUACACUUAAUUUGCCAAUAGUUAUCUUUACAUCAGAGUUGUAGUCCUUUGUCUGAUUGUUUCAAGAUGUAUUUUUUUCCAGCAAGGACUCUGAAAUCUCAGGAGAAUUCCUCUACACAUCUGGUCUGGCUUCACUAGAGAAAAUGGAAGAAAUAUAAGAAAUGUCAAUAGACGGAAUCAGAGUGCAAAAAUCUUCUGCCUCAGGAUUUCAGGAAAUGUUUCUCACUGGUGGGAAGGGAAGAGUGCGUGGAGAGAGAAGGCGAUAAUCCUCCGUGGCUUCAGUCAGCUGCUGCGAAGGGGCACUGCUACUGGCAUCAUCCCAGGCCCUGCACAGGAGUUGUCUUGUGUCCUUCCACAGCAAGUAACCUUUGGUUUCUGCCUUUCUUGUGAGAAGAGCAAAUGUGGCCAGAUUAUCUCUGCUUUCUUUUGUUCUGAGUUGAUGGAGGCAUUAGAGCUUUUCUUUUAAAUGAUUAAAGUAGAAGAAGAAAUCGUUGCUGACGAUAGAAAUGAGAGAAAGUCAAAUGUGUCUUGUGUUAAGGAAAGAGGUAGGAGCAGCAAAGCUGCCUCAGCAACUCUAGGCAGUGUUGAUCUAUAGUGUACUGUUGUAUUGAUUGUGCUAUCUUUGUCUUCUGACUGGCUUGGGCUGUCUUCCUUUAGUUUAUGGCAAUACAAAAAUAUAUGCACUGUGAUAUAAAAAGUGAUUUACCAGUGCACGAGAACAUGUGUAGUAAUAGUGAUCUCAGUCGGGGUGGAGGAAGCCAGUAGAUCUGGGAAAGAAAAAAAAAAUAAUCCAGAAUUUACUGAAGUUAAGUGGAUUGAAUCCAAAUUCAGCUAUCAGAGUAACUCAAAAUACAGAGGGCCUUGGUAGGAAAAGAAAGGAGGGGAAUUGCUCUCAAUAUUGUUUCUCUUUGAAUUUUUACCAGUGGAAUUCAACCUAGUUUUGCAGAGCUAAUGCAAGGAUAUCUGAAAUAAUCACCAAAAUGGGAAGGAAAACAAAGAUGUAGGGUACAGCAGGAGCAGUCAGGAAUCCAUUCAUUGACAGUGUGAAACCAAAACUGACAGAAAUUACUAUCUUUUAUCUGAGUUCUCCAGUAUAUUAACAUACAGCUCUGUGUGUUCAUGAUUGCAAGUGAACCUCGACAAGAGUUGCUUUUGUUUAGUUAGGAGAGUGAAUCAUUAAAAGCAUAAACACUGAAAUCUUUAUAGAAAUAGCAAUCCCAAUGCCAACCUCCUUUUGCUGUUGUAGAAGUGCUUAGUUAAUAGAAACUGUGACAGUGCUCUGAAUCUUUAAGCAAUGCCCAGUUUGAAUGACAGGAUGUUUUCAUUAAAUAUUCUACUCACUCUGGAUAAGGUUGCAACUAAACAUAAUAUAUGACUAAGAACAAGUGAGCCCUUUCCAGUCUGAUGAGAAUGAAAGUAGUCUGCUACUGAUAUACAUAAUACACUAAUUCAAUAGGCCAGUGCUGCCAUAAGCAGACCCUGAGAAAAGUAUUGCAAAUUUCAGAGUUUUCAGGUAUCAGGGUUCAGUAGUGCCUGUGUUUGUUUUGUCUUCUCUAAUUUCUUUUAGUCUGGAGUUGCUGAGACAAUGUCUGUGUUUUAGUGGAAUCUGAAUGAAGUCAGAUGUUGAAGACUUAAGAAAACCCUGCCCAUGAGUUACAAAUAAUGCUGUAGGGGCCAUUCAGAAAACUUACAUUAAGUUUUAAUAUUUCCAGUAGAAAUCAUUUCGGAAGUAACACUUCUCUCCAUCAUAAUUUUUUGUGUUUCUUGGGCUUUUUCUUUUCAUCUCCUCAUUUUGAUUCUUCUUUUCUAAUUAAAUGUCUCUGCCUUUUCAUAUUUCACUCCCUGAUGUUUCUGUUCCCUUUGAUAUUCUCUGCUCUUAAACACCCUUCAAAGAGAAACAUGAAAAUUUAGUUGUUAGUACUGUAAUGAUUUUUAGUAGCAUGGUUUCAGAUCUUAAACUUGAAGAUUUGCAUUGCUUUACUCCUGUUGAUAAGUUCUUUCUGAUUUUCUGCAUUGAUCACAAGGUAACUGAUUAUUUAGCAUAACUGUGGAAUUGGGUGUUAAAUUUUUUUCAUUCAUCUUGUCGUAGCUGAACUGGACAAAGUCCUGAGCAACUGACUCUAGAUGAUUCUACAUGGAGCUGGACUAGAGGCUGGAAGGGACCUCUAGAGAUCUUGACUCUGCUGUGAUUUUGUGAUGAUCUAAUUUUCCACUCAGCUCUUCAGCUUACUAAGAUAAUUUUCUUUUCUGAAAACUGACAUUAAAAAACAGAUUUCUCUGCCAUUGACCUCCACAAAAGUCAGCAUUGAAUGCACGCUUUUUCAUCCAAGCACAUCCCUCCUUAGCCAAACUUUUCAAGAUUUAUUGUCAGUUAAAUGUUUGGUCAAAUUCUUCACUGAUUGCUUUUGGUCAGUGUGCAUUCUUAAUAUAUCCAGAGUAAACUCCACAGUCUUAUCAUUUCAGCACACCUCCCCAUCAUCCUAAUAGGAAGACCCAGCUGAAAGAUGAUGCUUUGACAGUAUAUAAAAGAUAUUUUCAUUAGGAUAAUAUAUACCCUCCUUCAAAUGUUUACAUUUUUGUUAUAUUAAUGCAAGUUUUGGGGCUUGUUGUUUUAACAAAUGCUUUUUUUUUUUUUUUCUUUCUCCUUAAAAUCAAUACGAUGUCUAUAUGGUGUGUUUUUUUUUUAAAUAUUUUAAGAUGUGAGACCUAUACAGAUCCAACUUGAGUCUCAUUAAAAGAAUUUAGCCAAAAAUUGAAAGCCUAAAGAGGCCUAUUACUGUGAAUUAUAGAAAUUAGAAGCAUGAAUUCUGUCUAACAGCUCAAACUGCUUCAGUUAAUCUGGAUUUUUCCCAAAACCUGCAAAAUUUUAAGGGCCACGUUCUGUCCAGGUAAAACACUGUCUUGGCUAAACAAUUAAUGUUGUUAAUAAGUACUCUGGUUUCAGGUUCUUUACAGUCCACAGCACCUCUGUCAAUAGCAGAAGUAUGAGGUUGGUCCAACACUGCCUACGCUUCUGUAGAAGCAGCGAUCGUAAGCACAGACAUAAAAUUGCUCAGAAGGUGCCAGUGUCUGUCACUGUUAUAAUGGCCAUUACAGAAGCAUCCAAAGGACCAGUGAUUAAGAACCCAAUGUUGUUAAACCUGUGCAUACUCAGGACAAGAAUUCUCUGCCUUGCUUCUGCAUGCCUGCUUACCAAGACAGAGAACAGCAAAGGAAAGCUAAUGCA